AGAUCUUUGAAGGACGGUCCUCUAGGAGGAAGUACUUCUAUCUCUGCGGCUACUUCCUGCCAGGGGUGGUCGUGGCCGUCUCCGCUGCCAUCGACUACAGGGGCUACGGCACCCGGACCGUGUGUUGGCUGCAGAUGGACAACUACUUCAUCUGGAGUUUCCUGGGUCCUGUGUCUGUCAUUAUAAUGCUGAACCUGGUUGUCUUGGUGAUGACUCUUCACAAGAUGGUGCACAGCUCCUCAGCCCUCAAACCCGACUCCAGUCGUCACGACAACCUCAGG
This is a long non-coding RNA of Oncorhynchus gorbuscha (pink salmon), 281 nucleotides long. RefSeq lists it as uncharacterized. The transcript has 3 exons. The record is from RefSeq and is a predicted model, not a curated record. Lineage: Eukaryota; Metazoa; Chordata; Actinopteri; Salmoniformes; Salmonidae.